AUGAACGCUGGCGGCGUGCUUAACACCUGCCAGUCGAACGGAAAGGCCAGUGCUUGCACUGGUGCUCGAGUGGCGAACGGGUGAGUAACACGUGGGUGAUCUGCCCUGCACUUUGGGAUAAGCCUGGGAAACUGGGUCUAAUACCAGAUAGGACCAUGCUUUGGAUGGUGUGGUGGAAAGUUUUUUCGGUGUGGGAUGAGCUUGCGGCCUAUCAGCUUGUUGGUGGGGUAAUGGCCUACCAAGGCGUCGACGGGUAGCCGGCCUGAGAGGGUGUACGGCCACAUUGGGACUGAGAUACGGCCCAGACUCCUACGGGAGGCAGCAGUGGGGAAUAUUGCACAAUGGGCGCAAGCCUGAUGCAGCGACGCCGCGUGGGGGAUGACGGCCUUCGGGUUGUAAACUCCUUUCGCAACUGACGAAGCUUUUUGUGACGGUAGGUUGAGAAGAAGCACCGGCUAACUACGUG
Molecule: ribosomal RNA, 466 nt
Filed under: uncultured bacterium
Lineage: Bacteria
Description: partial 16S ribosomal RNA
Rfam family: Bacterial small subunit ribosomal RNA
Source: RNAcentral